This 254-nucleotide ribosomal RNA is filed under the name uncultured bacterium. Its description in RNAcentral is "partial 16S ribosomal RNA". It matches the Rfam family "Bacterial small subunit ribosomal RNA", at positions 524 to 776 of the family's 1533-position model. The record is from RNAcentral.
UACGGGGGGAGCAAGCGUUGUUCGGAUUUACUGGGCGUAAAGGGCGCGUAGGCGGCCAGCGCAAGUCAGUUGUGAAAUCUCCAGGCUUAACUCGGAACGGUCAACUGAUACUGCGCGGCUAGAGUGCAGAAGGGGCAACUGGAAUUCUCGGUGUAGCGGUGAAAUGCGUAGAUAUCGAGAGGAACACCUGCGGCGAAGGCGGGUUGCUGGGCUGACACUGACGCUGAUGCGCGAAAGCCAGGGGAGCGAACGGG